UAAACGGUCCUUUUCAGGACCACUAAUUUACAUAUCGAUAUUGAG
Non-coding RNA from Euroglyphus maynei, 45 nucleotides. Lineage: Eukaryota; Metazoa; Arthropoda; Arachnida; Sarcoptiformes; Pyroglyphidae. The record is from Rfam.